RNAcentral lists this ribosomal RNA (75 nucleotides) under Muribaculaceae bacterium. RNAcentral describes it as "partial 16S ribosomal RNA". It matches the Rfam family "Bacterial small subunit ribosomal RNA", at positions 1 to 75 of the family's 1533-position model. The record is from RNAcentral. Lineage: Bacteria; Pseudomonadati; Bacteroidota; Bacteroidia; Bacteroidales; Muribaculaceae.
ACAACGGAGAGUUUGAUCCUGGCUCAGGAUGAACGCUAGCGGCAGGCUUAACACAUGCAAGUCGAACGGCAGCGG